This 762-nucleotide long non-coding RNA is filed under the name Lactuca sativa (garden lettuce). Its description in RNAcentral is "long non-coding RNA (LSAT_LNC005126)". The record is from RNAcentral. Lineage: Eukaryota; Viridiplantae; Streptophyta; Magnoliopsida; Asterales; Asteraceae.
UCAAGAUGUAAAAGAAGUAGAAGACGAGGAGUUUAUAUUUCCCAAUCGUCGAUUGGUUAGGACUCAGCAGGACGCUCUUUUUCAGAUACGUAAUUAUAUAGCGUCUCCCGAUUUUUGUCAAGAAACACUCGAAGAACCGUAAGUUCUUUAAACUUUUAUCUCUCGUUUUCUGUCAAGAACACAAGAAAAUACUUCCAGAUACUCUCUACUAUCCUGAUUUCUUGUGAAUAAGGUGAUAUCUCUCUUUUCUCCUAUCUAAAACUCAUAAACAUCACUUGUGACUUGUGAUUUUUGUGAAUAAGUUGCUUUAUUGUUGUUUUGUAAGUUUAGUAAUUAGUAGUAGUUCUAUUUUGAUGGGUCGACUAUAGCCCCAAUUUAGUAGCCCUACUUCUAGGUGUACUUAUAACUUAUUUUUGAUUUCAGGUGGAUGAAUUGUUCCCAAUUGUGACAGUGGAUUCGAAGGGUACUUUUUCAAUUUUGAGUGUUCUAAUUUUGAUGUUAUAUUGAAAUUAGAGAUAGUGUGUGUUUGUUAGCAGAUGUAAAUGUAUUUUUUUCAAUUUAAUUCUGAUUUUUUAUUUUCCUCAUUCACAGGUCAUAAUGUCAUAUCAGCUACACAUGAGGCAACAAAGUGCACAUCUAGAACUUUGAAAACAAAUUGUCACAGUUUUGUUGGGCAUAAUAUUUUUCUGCAAAUUAAUUACCAAUGCAACUUAAGAUGUUUUAUGGUUAUCCAUUUUCAAAUCACUGUACUCCGAAAAUUGC